GAAAGAGGAAAGGACAGGAGGAGAGACGAGAAAAAUAAUAGGGAGGAAGAGGAGAAGGAGAAAGGAGAGGAAAGCAAAAAGGAAGGAAGGAAAUAUGGAAGCCCUUUUGCUCCGUAUAAAACCUCCCUGAGCUCAGCAGACCGCUGCGUCAUUUUCUGCCUCAGCGCUGAAGCAGUUAACCAACACACACACACACACACACACUCACACACACACACACACACACACACACACACACACACACACACACACCUCUGCCAGUCAUAAAAUCCCUGGACCCUGCAGGGCAGAGCGUGACGAGGGCAGAGGGCGUCCCAGUGUGUGUGUGUGUGUGUGUGUGUGUGUGUGUGUGUGUGUGUGUCGGUGAGACAGAGACAUAUAAAGUAGCACAAAGAUAAAAAAAAAAACUGUCUUUAUGGUUGAAGUGUGAAAGUCCUGCCGGGCUGAGAGCAGAGGAGAAGAUUCGUCAGGUGAUGAAGGUAAACCUGAUGAAGAUGAUGGUUAUUCAGCCCAAAAUCACGCGUCACAGACGGAUUCUCAUCACUGAUGAGAAUUAUCUAAACUCAAGGUCAACUUACUAGCUUUUUCGGGAGCUUUUAAUCAUCUCUCACUGUUUUUAUCAGUGGAUGGAGUUUGCUCAGUUGAAUGAUGAAGGUCAAACGCUGAGAGAGACAGAGAGCUACAGGACGUAAACACACCAAACAGGAAGUUGUAAAGAGAGGAACACAACAGACUACAGCCCCCAAUCAAUGAUCAAUUACUGGACGGAGAUGCUGUUAUAAUCAAAUAAGAAAAGGAAGGAACGAGCUGCUGAAAAAGCUGUUUUUAUCUUCGGAGGGAGUCGUGGUCCCCUUCCACGAGUCCGCCUGUUAUUAAAUUGGAAGAGGUGAACUUCCUGCAGCACCUGCCUUCAUUCAGAACCUCUUGGAAACACCUGACAGUCGUGCUGUGGCGCACGAGAGGACUCGAGCGUUUACGCGAUAAUCUUUCAGCAGAGUUUAAAGCGGCUCUGUCAAGUAGAAUUGGAAGUAAAAGUCUUUUAGAGUAAUUAAGUCGUAAUUGUUUUCAUUUCGACUGAGCUCUGAUUUUGCAGCUUCAGCUGGACGUAUGAAGAAGCUCUACCUGUCUGACACACCGCACCUGUUAUACAUACACAAACACACAUACAACAAAACACACACACACACAGACAGGGCCGAGGGGAUUAUGUUGUGCUGAGUGAUGUCCGUGUUCAGGAAUGUGCGUGCUUUAGAAAAAAUAAUGUGGGUCUUGUAUAUGUGUGUGUUGUACAAAGGCGCCUUUGUGACCAGGUUACACACCCCCCCCUUCAACACUGGAGAUACUGAGAGAUGUACCUCCAUCUCUCCAUCAUACCUGUUCUAACCUGUGAAAACACACAACCUGACUGAGUAUAAACUACCACAGUGAUGCUACUUUGCUACAGCUGCUGGUUAUUUAUUCAUUCAUUAAAUUUUGCUGUCUAGUCACAGACAGAACUGGAUGUAAAAGUCUCUUUUGCAUAUUCCUCUGCAUCGAGAAGGCCAUGAAAAUUAAGCAAAUGAGAUGGAUUUAGAGAACAUGAAGUCAUCGUGUUUUUUUUUUUGUGUGUGAACUAACUGAUGUGUGACGUUGGAAAAAGAGACAUGCAAAGGUGGGAAAAGAGAUUGAAAAUGGCAAAAAGGAAGGAUACCCCUCUCCAAAACAGACACGAUCUGCUGCUGAUGUCUUCUGCUUUAGUACAAAAUCAUUUUGAAGCAAUUACCAGAAAAGUUCAUUUUGAUUUCUUUCUUUAUUUUUAAGUGGAGAAAAUGGCUAUAUAACUUGUUUUUUUUUUUUAAAUGAGAGUUCAUGCUAGCGGUUCUUUGGGGCUGUACUUGCUAACAUUAGCAUGCUAAGAUGCUCAAAAUGACAAUGCUAACUCGUUGACGUUUAGAAGAUUUACUAGUUAACCAUCUUAGUUUAGUUUGUUAGCAUGCUAACAUUUGAUUAUUAGCACUAAACACAAAAUGAUUCAUUAGUUUUGCAAGUAUUUAGUCAUAAUCCAAAGUGAGCGUCAGAAAGUGGUGGACCAACCGACAGGCCGACAGUCAUCCCUAAAGCCAUGCUGCUAGCAUAGCAAAAAAUCCCCAGCCUACGUCCUGGUAUUGAAACUGGCAACAGCCAUUGUUUGGUUUCAGUCUGAAUGAAGUGACGCUCAGUCGUGUAACUCCACCCUGAUAGUUCCUGGAUCAUCUGAGAGUCUUUCCGCAGGUUAUAGCAAAGACUGUUGGGGGCCAAAACCUGCAGGUGAAGCUCUAGCAAAGAACCGCUACAGGAAGCCUCCAACUGGUCCACAACGCUACAUGAGGAAUCUUGACUAACACUGUGAAAUCAGAACAGUUUUCUUCUGUCCUGGCUUCAUCGGUUACUCAGUGGACCUACAUGCCCUCUCGGCUCACUAAAAGGGUUUUUUGGAAACCUUCAGGGUUAGCGUAUCAUCAGAGAGGACAGAAUUAGUUGUCUGGCUGCAUCCAAAAGCAAGUACAGGUGAUUAAAUCAAGACUAAAAGCUGCCCUCAUUAUUUGAAAUAAUAGAUGUUUCCAGGUAGUAACUGUACUCCGGCUGAAGUAACUUCUGAGUACAGUGAAUAUUUGUACCUCACACCUCCCUCUCAGCUGUGUCUCACUGAUGACAGACACUCUGUCCCUGCCCGGCUACAUUUUUAGCCGCUGAAGUGAAAUUACUGUAAUUUUCUGGGGAGAAAAAGCUUCUAGCCGCCCGGCUAAUGGUCACCAUUACGGUUUCUUUUUCUGACAGCGAGCCAGACUGCAGAGAACCGGUUCUCUGUCCGUCAAAAUCCAGAACCAAGGUUUUGAUUGAAAACACCUGUUUUAAAUCAGUAAUCAUUUAAUGGAGCGUAACUGUAGCCGAGCAAACUGAUUAUGAGUGUUUAGAGUGAACGUUAGCAGAUCGGGUGAAAUGGAAAACGCCUUUUCGAUGGUGAUAAUGUCCUGUGUGUUUCUGGGUGUGUCGUUUUAGUGGAUUUUUAUAAUUUCAUCCAAGCAGUUGGCAUGGAUAAAAGUGAAAUUUUAGGAAAGGAGGUUGAUGGUCUGAUAAGUAUUGUGGUUGCAAGAGGGUGUUUUUCCUUUUUAGCUCCAUAUCUUCAGGAGAAAAAUAAAAUUUUUAGACCAGUGGUUCCCAAUCUUUUUGGCUUAUCACAAGCUAAAGUAGAAACACGAGCUGUGAACAAUUCAACCAAAGAUUGAUUUUUCCUUCUCGGGUUGUGUCAUCUGAAGGAUUUGUUGCAGCCGGAGGAGGUAAAAGUAUCCAGCAUUUCACAAAAAAAAAAAAUAAAGACAUUCAAGAAAAGCUAAGUUCAACUUUUGAGUGCUGGCUGAGUGCAACAGAUCAUGAAUCAAACUCAGGAAACAACAGGAGGGGGAAAAAUGCUGAUUUGGAUGAAGUGGUGGUUGCGAGUACAGGCUGCAGCCUCCUGUUCUCCUUCAGACAGCUGAUAUUUGCCAUGAUAUGAGACUGCAGGCGUAGUGAUACACUGGUCUACAACAAAGUAGUUCCGAGACAGAAAUGAUUUGUACAACCCUGUUGUAGGCGUUUACAGUUUUUUAAUCAAAUGUUUCAAAUGUGUCGUGGCUUAAAAUGUUUGUUGCAGCUCAGUCUGGAAAACUCCCAGAGCUCAUAUUCAUACAUCAAUAUCAGUUACGUCUAAAAAUCUGAACUUUAAACACUGUAAAAAGGUAUAAAUGUCUAAAAAGCCCUUUAAUAAUGGGACUAAAACUGAAAUACUUUGACCUUUCUCUGAUUGUUUACAUGGAAAUAUGUAACUCAGACUGUUGCAAUCCAAGAAAUCACAGUCGGUAUGUGGGAGAGAGAAACAAACACUCAGAGCUUAUAUAAACUGAAUGACAGGCAACACACACACACAUUCCCUUCAUCUCUCUUCAUUCAAAGGGCAGAGCUUUCCAUAGAAGGAGGGAUUGUGUUGGAUUGGACGGAGGGAGGGGGAGACGGGGGAGACGGGGGGAGGUAGAGGGGGUCAGCACUAUGAGUCAGCACACACACAGGUCGUUGUGUUACCAUAGAGACAGCCGAGUUGGUCAGCGUAAAAGCAGGAAGGACGCUGCCAGACUGUUAAUGUGGAGUCUCGGUGGGGGAGGAGUCAGAGAGGGGACCUCAUUAACCUCUGACCUCGUCAUUCUUGGCCGCUAAUAACUACAAUUUCUGAGUGAUGUUUGACCUUUGACCCCAGCAAGUUCAGCACCGGCUCGGUUUCGUUUUGAUCUCAUCUCUGCAGGUUCAAAGUCGAAGGCGUGUUUGUGUGUGAGUAGGCCGCAUGCCAACAGGUAGGCAGCUAUAAACUUAAAGUGACAGACAAAAUGGAUAAAGUGUUCAUGUGGACUGUUAUGAAGAGAAAAUGUAUUGUUUUGGGCCUCAAAGCAUCUCUAAUGAAGUCAAACUGCAAUUUGAGAUCUCCUCCUUUUUGGUUUGAGAGCUAUAUUUGAAAAUUUCACACUUGUCUGCUACUAUCUACUGAUCUCUGAGCAGCUCCAGCAGUUGGGGUUGAAGGGCCUUGCUCAAGUGCACAGCAGUGGUGGUAAUCCAGGGUUCGAACCGGCGACCAUCUGUCCGCCACGAGCCUGCUGCUCUAUGACACCGCUGCCACAAGAAGGUAAACGUGAAAACACCAUCACUGCAGAAAAAUAAUGGUAGUGACCAUUUUGAAUGCCAAUCUCUGAAUAACAGCAUGCACAUAACAUAUAAUAAGAAGUCUAAACAUAAUAUAUAAACUGUGUAUAUACUCACAUAUCUAUCAUUUACUUUGUUUAAAGUUAGUUAUCUGUAUUUGUACCUCUGCUGCUGUGACUCUUGAAAUUCAUUGAGUGGGAUCAAUAGGUUAUCUAACCUUAUCCAUCAAUAGAUGCAUAUAAAACAUCCACUGUAUGAAGUAACCGAUUACGUUAUCCAAUAUAUAUUUCAGAAUUCUUUACACAAUUUGCAGCCCUUUCUAUAUUGUUAACAUAAUCAUAAUCUGACCUCAAUAUAGAUACUUGAAGUUGUUUUUAUAUAUACAUGCCUAUAUAGUAUAUGUAUCUUUGUUCUUACCUGUACAUAAUAGCUGUAUUUUUAUGUUUAGCUGUAUGUCUAUGCAUAUCUUCCUGUGCACUUGUUUUUGUCUCAAUAUUUAGAGCUACUGAGUCAAAUUCAUUGUAUGCUUUGACAUACUUAAUAAAGUUGAUUGUGAUGAAAAGGAUUUUUAAUUUAAACUGAACAUAAAAUGUGUAUUCUGUGCUGUAAACAUGCACCCAUGUACAUUUUCUCUCCAUGUGUGAAGGAUGGAAAUGAAAAUGGAAUACUGUACCUCUACCUGCAGUGUUCCCACUGUUCCCAGUUCCUGUUCGUAACCCCACCCACUUUGACCGCCCCAGUGAAUGCACAGAGAGCGCCACUUUAACGUUUAAGCAACAUGUUUAUUGAAAUAAAAUCUCGCUUUUAGCUGUAAAAAUCACAACAAAAAAGAAAAAUACUGUACAUGUAUUUCCCCAGAGAAGAAGAGUACAUGAUUGAGCAGCUGUGUGAUGGAGUUGGUAUGAUGCUGUGUGACUUUAAAUCCAACUAGACGCUGUGAAGUGUGACGCCUGCGAGCUCAAGUGCUCAACAGGCUAAAUAUUAACCCAGCAGAAGCGAUAGCAAGCUGCUAACACCAGCAGGAACUCUGCUAAACUAACCAAACAAGGAAACACAGUCUGAACUUCAGCUCCAUAUAAUAUAUGAUAGUGAUGACAGUGAAUAUGCAGGUGUGUGUGUGCGUGUGUGAGUCUUUGGUACAGGUAUUUAGAUGGUUUGAA
Siniperca chuatsi (mandarin fish) is the source of this 5843-nucleotide long non-coding RNA. RefSeq lists it as uncharacterized. The record is from RefSeq and is a predicted model, not a curated record. The transcript has 3 exons. NCBI's taxonomy places the organism in Eukaryota, Metazoa, Chordata, Actinopteri, Centrarchiformes, Sinipercidae.